GAAUUGAUGCAUCGGUCGUGCCUUAAGGGGCAUGAACUGGUGUAGCCAAUUUCUCACCUUCUGGUGAAUUGUUGAUGUUCUUAAUGGGUGUCUUAAUGAACUAGAAUUUUUACUUUGAAAAAAUUAGAGUGUUUAAAGCAGGCAUUAAUUUGCUUGAAUACAUUAGCAUGGAAUAAUGAAAUAGGACAGUGGUUCCGUUUUGUUGGUUUCUAGGAUCACGUAAUGAUUAAUAGGGA
RNAcentral lists this ribosomal RNA (236 nucleotides) under uncultured Glomeromycotina. RNAcentral's name for it is "partial small subunit ribosomal RNA". It matches the Rfam family "Eukaryotic small subunit ribosomal RNA", at positions 655 to 878 of the family's 1831-position model. The record is from RNAcentral. Lineage: Eukaryota; Fungi; Glomeromycota.